GGGGGGGCACCGGUGGGCUGAGCGAGGCUUUAAAGAGACAGGCGCCGGCUUGGAGCAGCAGACCCGGCUAUUGUCUCUCUGUCUUUCUUUCUUUCUCUCUUUCUCUCUCCUCUUCUGCUCUUUCUUUCUUUCUCUGGGAGAGAGGAGGCAGAUCUGCAUCCCCUUGAUCUGCAUCCCUUCCAGCCCUUAAAAGCAGCCCGAUUCACACGCUCCGCGGUUUGUAACACGCGUGGAGCUGGGAUGCCAGAGGCGCCUUUCUUCAUCCAGAGCAGGAGAUGCUCCAGGCGUCAACAUCCUGGGUGCCCAUCGUGCACUGAUCUUCCAAUAGCCAAGCAAAGCAAUAAUGUGACCCAUGCAUUCUUGUGAAAUGCCGAUUAUGCUUGAAAUUCCACCGGAUCCCAUGCAGCUGUGGACAAGUCUACAGAGGGACCACCAAACGCAGCAUUGCCCAAACAAGAGUCAAAGAACAUGAAAGGCACUGCAGACUAAUUCAACCAGAGAAAUCAGCCAUAGCAGAGCACUUGAGGAACCGGCCUGGACACAGUACAGUAGAGCCUCACUUAUCCAAGCCUCGCUUAUCCAAGCUUCUGGAUUAUCCAAGCCUUUUUUGUAGUCAAUUUUUUCAAUAUAUCGUGAUAUUUUGGUGCUAAAUUCAUAAAUACAGUAAUUACAACAUAACAUUACUGCAUAUUGAACUACUUUUUCUGUCAAAUGUGUUGUAUAGCAUGAUGUUUUGGUGCUUAAUUUGUAAAAUCAUAACCUAAUUUGAUGUUUAAUAGGCUUUUCCUUAAUCCCUCCUUAUUAUCCAAGAUAUUCGCUUAUCCAAGGUACUGCCAUCCCGUUUAGCUUGGAUAAGUGAGACACUACUGUAUUAUAUUUAUUAUGUUACUCUAUUUAUUACUACAUGUAUUAUUUUCCUAUAUUAUUUAUUAUUAUUAUUACAUGUAUUAUUUCCCUGUAUUUUUUAUUAUUAUUAUUAUUAUUAUUAUUAUUAUUAUUAUUAUUAUUAUUAUUAUUACAUGUACCAUUUUACUCUAUUAUUAUUAAAAGGAUACAUAAGCACAUUUACAUUGAAGAAAAUGAGAAUAAUGAUUGGAUCAGAGUUGGACAGUCUUAUCUUAAAUUUGAGCUUUAUGUAAAUACUGUAUUCAAAAACAUUUAACCUACUGAUGCCUCAAUUAAUGUGAUUUUAUUGGUAUCUGUUUUUAUUUCUGAAAUUUACCACUCUCGGCUUAUACUGGAGUCAAUGUUUUCCCAGGUUUUUUGUGGUAAAAUUAGUUGCCUCGGCUUAUAUUCGGGUUGGCUUAUACUCGAGUAUAUACAGUAUAUACAGUAUUACGCUAUGUAACAAGAUUUUUAUUCUUGGGUUAUAAAUGUCGUUUCCUGAUUGGUUCUAUUACAAAAACAUAGGAUCAGGUUGUGUAAGUGUUUUAUCUAUAUAUAUAAAAGGGUAAUGGAAUCACGGCACCGGACAAAACAACUCAACUAAACUCCCCACAACAAGAUAUUCGCUUAUCCAAGCUUCUGCCAGCCCGUUUAGCUUGGAUAAGUGAGACCCUACUGUAUAUUAUUUGAGAACAGAGAAAUGCUCAACCACUCCAACAACUAUCAUGUCAGACUACACAGAGAAGCCAUUGAAAUCCACAAGCAUGUGGACAACUUCAACAGAAAGGAGGAAACCAUGAAAAUAAACAAAAUCUGGCUCUAAAAUCAAAACAGUAGAUGGGAACCAACACUCUGAGGGCAGAGGACAGCUAAUGACUGAACAAAGGACGCCCCCAGGCAAGAGACAAAACCUUUCCAAUGCUAAUUAGGGUGAUUAACUGAAACAUUAAUGCUGGCUUCCCAGUGACAAAGGACUCUUGCCACACCCUGGACUCUCCACAGAUAUAUAUAUUCUUUCCUUUCCUUACUUAGUUUCUCCAUACCUCACAACCUCUGAGGAUGCCUGCCAUAGACGUGGGUGAAACAUCAGGAGAGAAUACUCCUGGAACAUGUCCACACAGCCCAAAAGACAUACAACAACCCUGUGAUCCCGGCCAUGAAAGCCUUCGACAAAACAAAAAGCGCCCUUCCCAAUAAGCUCCAAAAUCUAAAACUCUCUUGGGCCAUAAUGGUACCAUUUGGACUCCACCUGAAAGCAUAUUAAGUCACCAAAUACAGCUGGCAGAGAAGAAGGAAAAGGGAUCUCUGGCAGUUCAGCUGAGUGGAUAAUACAUUUUUUAGUAAAAAGCUAAGGAGCAGUCUGUCUG
Long non-coding RNA from Anolis carolinensis (green anole), 2252 nucleotides. RefSeq lists it as uncharacterized. Lineage: Eukaryota; Metazoa; Chordata; Lepidosauria; Squamata; Anolidae. The record is from RefSeq and is a predicted model, not a curated record. The transcript has 2 exons.